RNAcentral lists this ribosomal RNA (250 nucleotides) under uncultured bacterium. RNAcentral's name for it is "partial 16S ribosomal RNA". It matches the Rfam family "Bacterial small subunit ribosomal RNA", at positions 83 to 334 of the family's 1533-position model. The record is from RNAcentral.
CUCCGCCGGCGACCGGCGCACGGGUGCGUAACGCGUAUGCAACCUACCUUUAACAGGGGCAUAACACUGAGAAAUUGGUACUAAUUCCCCAUAACAUUCGAGAAGGCAUCUUCUUGGGUUAAAAACUCCGGUGGUUAAAGAUGGGCAUGCGUUGUAUUAGCUAGUUGGUGAGGUAACGGCUCACCAAGGCAACGAUACAUAGGGGGACUGAGAGGUUAACCCCCCACAUUGGUACUGAGACACGGCCCAA